Molecule: signal recognition particle RNA, 99 nt
Filed under: Geotoga petraea
Lineage: Bacteria; Thermotogati; Thermotogota; Thermotogae; Petrotogales; Petrotogaceae
Description: Bacterial small signal recognition particle RNA
Rfam family: Bacterial small signal recognition particle RNA
About the family: The signal recognition particle (SRP) is a universally conserved ribonucleoprotein involved in the co-translational targeting of proteins to membranes.
Source: Rfam by way of RNAcentral
GGCUGGGUCCCGCGCAACGAAAACUCGUGAAUCUGGUCAGGCCCGGAAGGGAGCAGCCAUAAGCGUUGUUUUUCGUGUGCCGCGGGGUGCUCAGCCACC